This 252-nucleotide ribosomal RNA is filed under the name uncultured Bacteroidales bacterium. RNAcentral's name for it is "partial 16S ribosomal RNA". It matches the Rfam family "Bacterial small subunit ribosomal RNA", at positions 524 to 776 of the family's 1533-position model. Lineage: Bacteria; Pseudomonadati; Bacteroidota; Bacteroidia; Bacteroidales. The record is from RNAcentral.
UACGGGGGGUGCUAGCGUUGUCCGGAAUGAUUGGGCGUAAAGGGUGCGUAGGCGGACUGUUAAGUCAGCGGUAAAAGCCCGGGGCUCAACCCCGGCGAGCCGUUGAAACUGGCUGUCUUGAGAUGUCGAGAGGUAUGCGGAAUGCGCAGUGUAGCGGUGAAAUGCAUAGAUAUCGCGCAGAACCCCGAUUGCGAAGGCAGCCUGCCGGCCCCACACUGACGCUGAGGCACGAAAGCGUGGGUAUCGAACAGG